This 252-nucleotide ribosomal RNA is filed under the name uncultured bacterium. RNAcentral's name for it is "partial 16S ribosomal RNA". It matches the Rfam family "Bacterial small subunit ribosomal RNA", at positions 524 to 776 of the family's 1533-position model. The record is from RNAcentral.
UACGGAGGAUGCGAGCGUUAUCCGGAUUUAUUGGGUUUAAAGGGUGCGUAGGCGGGCUUUUAAGUCGGCGGUAAAAAUUCGGGGCUCAACCCCGUCCGGCCGUUGAAACUGGGGGUCUUGAGUGGGCGAGAAGAAGGCGGAAUGCGUGGUGUAGCGGUGAAAUGCAUAGAUAUCACGCAGAACCCCGAUUGCGAAGGCAGCCUUCCGGCGCCCUACUGACGCUGAGGCACGAAAGUGCGGGGAUCGAACAGG